AAAACUUUCAACAACGGAUCUCUUGGCUCUAGCAUCGAUGAAGAACGCAGCGAAACGCGAUAAGUAGUGUGAAUUGCAGAAUUCAGUGAAUCAUCGAAUCUUUGAACGCACAUGGCGCCCCCUGGCAUCCCGGGGGGCAUGCCUGUCCGAGCGUCGUUUCAACCCUCGAGCCCCCGUGGCCCGGCGUUGGGG
This 192-nucleotide ribosomal RNA is filed under the name Musicillium theobromae. RNAcentral's name for it is "5.8S ribosomal RNA". The stretch from base 3 to 156 matches the Rfam family "5.8S ribosomal RNA". Rfam says of the family: 5.8S ribosomal RNA (5.8S rRNA) is a component of the large subunit of the eukaryotic ribosome. Lineage: Eukaryota; Fungi; Ascomycota; Sordariomycetes; Glomerellales; Plectosphaerellaceae. The record is from RNAcentral.